Non-coding RNA from Nicotiana tabacum (common tobacco), 3118 nucleotides. The record is from RefSeq and is a predicted model, not a curated record. NCBI's taxonomy places the organism in Eukaryota, Viridiplantae, Streptophyta, Magnoliopsida, Solanales, Solanaceae.
UAAAGUUGCUUCGACACUUCCUAUGCUCUCAUCGUUCCCAAAUCACCUUCCUCAAACUCACCGGCUGCAAAUUAACAUUCCAAAUCACCAGAAUUCUCAACUUCCUCAAGAGGUCUAUUCCAUUCUCACCUAAAUUCUCACCUUCUUCAAAUUAAAUCACCAGCAAACCUCAAAUCACCGUCCCAAAUCCCGCGUUCGCAAAUCACCGGCAAACAUUCCUCAAAUCUCAUUGUUGUUGGUGAUUUACUUUCAUCUCAACCGCAUUUAAGUUUAUCAAACCCAUGUCCUAAAUUCCCAAAUCCUCGAAUCUAUUUGUUAACCAAAAAUCCCCAAAUCUUGAUUGCUAACCCAAAACUACCAAAUCCCCAAAGUCCCAAACUCCAUUUGUUUCACUCGAAGGAUCUGAAGAACAGAGGAAUAAUUUUGAAGGUAGCGAUUACAGUGUAGAAAAUAUUUUAAAUCGGGAGAAAGUUUCGACCCAAAAGGCAAUCAACUUCAGAAUCUGAAAAAUAUUUGAAUAGUCAUGAAUCAAGAAGGGUGCUCAAGCAAAAAUAAGAAAAUAUCCAACCGCAUUCUAGCUAUAUCACUUGCAUCUUUGCGAAAUCAAAGGGUUUUGUCGUUGACAACAAAAAGAACCUUCCAAGCUACAAGGUCAAAUGCAAAUGAAGAACGACAAUCAGAAGGUGCAUUACCUUCAUCUUUGCGAAACCAAAAGGUUUCGGCGUUGAUAACAAAAACAAACUUGAAAGCUCUAAGGUCAAAUGUAAAUGAAUAAAGACAAUCCGAAGAUGGAUCUCAAUUGCAAGAACAAGAGCAACAAGUGCCACGGAAUUGCACUUCUUCAGCAAUACAAGGAGUACAUGAACAAGCGCAACAGGGGAAUAUGGAUUCCAUCACUCCCGCAUCACAGGGAGUACAUGAAUGAUAUGAUGAUUCUACCACUCAUGAAGCAGUUGAACAAUUUGAGGAACAAGGAAAAUAUAUAUAAAGUUUAAUCAUAAACUUAACUAAAAAUAGUGAUUAAUGAUUAUGCUUGUUUUGUACUAUUGCAGGCCCCUCCUCGCCAAAAAGAAAAAGAGUUCCUACUCAAAUGCCAAGGGUUCAUGGUAGAAAGGAGCGUAAAAUAAUCAUUCUAAAUGAGUAUAAUCAACCCGUUGGUCCUACUAAAAAGGUUGUAAAAGAGUUAGGUAGCUUCCUCGGCACAUUGGCAAGGAGUGGGAAUUUUUGUCCUCUUAAUGUAUUUAAGUGGAGGAAACUUGAUACAAAAGAUGAUAUAUGGAAAUAUAUCAAGUUUGUAGUGCUUGGAGAAAGUAUAAGAGUCAAUUGAAGAUAACUCACUUCACAACCUAUGAUAAUGAUGAGCUUCGAAUGGAUAAUAGGCCAGUAGAUAUUCUGGAAUCUCACUUUAAGGAUCUUCUUAAAUAUUGGAACUCUGAUCCUCACAAGGUAAUUACAUCCAGAAUCUAUUGUCUUGUUUUAACAUAAUUGUUUUUUGGUGCCUGAGUUAAAAGAAUAAGAAGUAAAAUAGUACCGAACAUGAAGGUCUCAAUUCUUUCAAGAAUAAACUAAUUCUAUAGUUUUAGUAUUUUUGUAACUAGGGAUGGGCAUAAUACAUAUAAAGUUGUUGCCUUCUAGUAUAAGUUGUGACCUAUUGCAUGUUUUUACUAUUCGAUAGAUAAAUUUUGUUAUGUGUUUUGUUACCUAUUUUGUAUCAACUUCUACUUGCUAUUAGCAGUUGUUGGUGUAUACCUGUGCUUUUUGACUUUCUGUGGUUUUGUGAUUAAUACCACAUACUUUGGUUGGAAUACAUAUUGUAUUAUCCCAAGAGAAGAAAGAUGGUUUGGGACGAUGUUACUCUCCUAGGCUUUGGUAAAUCUGUUUGCCACUGCUGAAGUGUUUUGGUUUUCUGUUUGCACGUUCUCUGUGUGCUUGUUCUCUAUAGUCUAUUAUUGGUUUCAUUUGUAGUGUACUUACCUUUGCAUGUGCUAUUGUCUGCUGAGCUUACUUCUCUGGCCAGAUUCACAUUAAGUGUAAUUAGUCUUGUUCAGGAACUCCAGAAGGCACCAAUGUAUACAAUCUACUUUUAGACCACUCUUCUCUUUCAAUUUCUGAAUGGCCACUUCCACCAAUUUCAUCAUCUCUUAAUCUGAUUUUGAUCCCCAAUACUCUCUGCAUUAGAAAUUGGUUCUAUUUCGUUGUAGCAAUUCUGACCAUUUGCUUUUUUCCAAUCUUCUGCCCUGCCAUGUUAUGUUUGAAAUAUUUCUAUAGUAAAUUAGUACUACUACUAGUCAGCUUGUGUAAACCCUAAAGUAUUUUGAAAUAUAAAAUCGAACUAGCUGUAUACAAGCUCAAAAUCAAGAAUAAAAGAUGAUCCAUGACAUGAUCUCAUAUCAUAGAAGACUUGUUCCUAAAUGGAGCUUGACAUCACUCAAACUCAGGAAAGUGAAGAUGGAAGUCAUUUAGUUGACGAUUUUGCUUCAGUCAUGGGACCUGAACAUCCAGGUCGCGUGAGAUUGUAUGGACAAGGGGUUACCAAGACUUUGUUAAAAGGGAAAAAAAGGGAAUCCUGGAUCUUCUUUAGAUGUUGAUGAGAGGAUGCAGCAGAAAAUAGAGGAAAUGAAAUAGAGGAUGCAACAAAUAAUGCAUGAAAAGUUGAACGAACAAAAUGAUGCUAUGGAACAAAAUAUUAUAAUGAACGUUAUUGCACAACUUCAGCGUCUGAACCCAGAUUUACGACUUGAUCCUGACAUGUUAAGGUUCAGUGCAUGUUCACCUAUAGAUGCUUCCUCUGUACAACAAACUGUUGUUCAACUAAACAAUCGACCAUCUGCUGGUAGUAACAAUCAAGAAGGGACCUGGAAAGAAAGAAUAGGUUGAAAAACCACUCCUUAAUCCUACAGGUGGAGUAGAUCAAGAAAUGGACGAUGAAGACGAUGAAGAACUAGACCUUACUUGAAAUGAAUUUUGAAUUGUUAUAGAUGAAUAUUCUAGGAAUCUUUUGUUACCAACAUUUUUGAACUUAUUUACUCUAUUGAAAUGUACUAAACUUAUGCACUCAUGGGGUAGAACAUUUGCUUUAUGGAUAUUAUUUGUUUGAUGGAUAAUUUUGUAUUAUUAA